AAGUCCAAAUAUUCUUAGCAAAUAUGGGGAAGCGUAUGAUUCAUAAUUUUCAAUGGUUACAGACUCAGAAAACUUCUUCCAACUCUGAUUAUUCAUGCUCUCUGGUAUGAAAGACAAAAAGGAAAAGGAGCAUCCAUAGCUUACAGGAAACAAUUGGAAAACAAGAGUACACCAUAUGAGUUUCCUCAGUACGUAUAGCCCUUCACGAACAUUCCUUUCUUAG
Long non-coding RNA from Tripterygium wilfordii, 223 nucleotides. RefSeq lists it as uncharacterized. NCBI's taxonomy places the organism in Eukaryota, Viridiplantae, Streptophyta, Magnoliopsida, Celastrales, Celastraceae. The transcript is spliced from 2 exons. The record is from RefSeq and is a predicted model, not a curated record.